Molecule: ribosomal RNA, 460 nt
Filed under: uncultured bacterium
Lineage: Bacteria
Description: partial 16S ribosomal RNA
Rfam family: Bacterial small subunit ribosomal RNA
Source: RNAcentral
CCUACGGGGGGCAGCAGUGAGGAAUAUUGGUCAAUGGACGAGAGUCUGAACCAGCCAAGUAGCGUGAAGGAUGACUGCCCUAUGGGUUGUAAACUUCUUUUAUAUGGGAAUAAAAUGUUCCACGUGUGGGAUUUUGUAUGUACCAUAUGAAUAAGGAUCGGCUAACUCCGUGCCAGCAGCCGCGGUAAUACGGAGGAUCCGAGCGUUAUCCGGAUUUAUUGGGUUUAAAGGGAGCGUAGGUGGAUUGUUAAGUCAGUUGUGAAAGUUUGCGGCUCAACCGUAACAUUGCAGUUGAAACUGGCAGUCUUGAGUACAGUAGAGGUGGACGGAAUUCGUGGUGUAGCGGUGAAAUGCUUAGAUAUCACGAAGAACUCCGAUUGCGAAGGCAGUUCACUGGACUGCAACUGACACUGAGGCUCGAAAGUGUGGGUAUCAAACAGGAUUAGAUACCCCAGUAGUC